GACGAACGCUGGCGGCGUGCUUAACACAUGCAAGUCGAACGGUGAAGCACCUUCCUUUUGGUGGGUGUGGAUGAGUGGCGAACGGGUGAGUAACACGUGAGUAACCUGCCCCCUUCUUCUGGAUAACCGCAUGAAAGUGUGGCUAAUACGGGAUAUUCUGCGCCUGCUGCAUGGUGGGUGUGGGAAAGAUAUUGUUUCGGUGGGGGAUGGGCUCGCGGCCUAUCAGCUUGUUGGUGGGGUGAUGGCCUACCAAGGCGGUGACGGGUAGCCGGCCUGAGAGGGUGGACGGUCACACUGGGACUGAGACACGGCCCAGACUCCUACGGGAGGCAGCAGUGGGGAAUAUUGCACAAUGGGCGCAAGCCUGAUGCAGCGACGCCGCGUGGGGGAUGGAGGCCUUCGGGUUGUAAACCUCUUUCGCCAGUGAAGCAGGCCUGUCCCUUGUGGGUGGGUUGAGCG
RNAcentral lists this ribosomal RNA (459 nucleotides) under Actinomyces sp. oral taxon 170. RNAcentral describes it as "bacterial SSU rRNA". It matches the Rfam family "Bacterial small subunit ribosomal RNA", at positions 28 to 475 of the family's 1533-position model. The record is from RNAcentral. Lineage: Bacteria; Bacillati; Actinomycetota; Actinomycetes; Actinomycetales; Actinomycetaceae.